This 253-nucleotide ribosomal RNA is filed under the name uncultured bacterium. RNAcentral describes it as "partial 16S ribosomal RNA". It matches the Rfam family "Bacterial small subunit ribosomal RNA", at positions 524 to 776 of the family's 1533-position model. The record is from RNAcentral.
UACGUAGGGUGCGAGCGUUGUCCGGAAUUACUGGGCGUAAAGAGCUCGUAGGUGGUUUGUCGCGUUGUCCGUGAAAACUCACAACUCAAUUGUGGGCGUGCGGGCGAUACGGGCAGACUGGAGUACUGCAGGGGAGACUGGAAUUCCUGGUGUAGCGGUGGAAUGCGCAGAUAUCAGGAGGAACCCCGGUGGCGAAGUCGGGUCUCUGGGCAGUUACUGACGCUGAGACGCGAAAGCUGGGGGAGCGAACGGG